AUACGGAGGGGGCUAGCGUUGUUCGGAAUUACUGGGCGUAAAGGGCGCGUAGGCGGACCAUCAAGUCAGGGGUGAAAGGCCUGGGCUCAACCCGGGAACUGCCUUUGAAACUGAAGGUCUAGAGGCCGAGAGAGGUUAGCGGAAUUCCCAGUGUAGAGGUGAAAUUCGUAGAUAUUGGGAAGAACACCGGUGGCGAAGGCGGCUACCUGGACCGGUACUGACGCUGAGGUGCGAAAGCGUGGGGAGCAAACAGGAUUAGAUACCCCAGUAGUCC
RNAcentral lists this ribosomal RNA (274 nucleotides) under uncultured bacterium. RNAcentral describes it as "partial 16S ribosomal RNA". It matches the Rfam family "Bacterial small subunit ribosomal RNA", at positions 523 to 796 of the family's 1533-position model. The record is from RNAcentral.